This 253-nucleotide ribosomal RNA is filed under the name uncultured bacterium. RNAcentral's name for it is "partial 16S ribosomal RNA". It matches the Rfam family "Bacterial small subunit ribosomal RNA", at positions 524 to 776 of the family's 1533-position model. The record is from RNAcentral.
GACGUAGGGCGCGAGCGUUGUCCGGAUUUAUUGGGCGUAAAGAGCUCGUAGGCGGCUUGUCGCGUCGACUGUGAAAACUCGGGGCUCAACCCCGAGCCUGCAGUCGAUACGGGCAGACUAGAGUGCUGUAGGGGAGACUGGAAUUCCUGGUGUAGCGGUGAAAUGCGCAGAUAUCAGGAGGAACACCGGUGGCGAAGGCGGGUCUCUGGGCAGUAACUGACGCUGAGGAGCGAAAGCGUGGGGAGCGAACAGG